This 24-nucleotide non-coding RNA is filed under the name Mus musculus (house mouse). Lineage: Eukaryota; Metazoa; Chordata; Mammalia; Rodentia; Muridae. The record is from RNAcentral.
UGGUGUAAGUUUGAGAACUCUGGG